GGCACGGUAGGGCAGUGGGUAGCGCUGUUCCCUGACAGCUAGGAGGUCAUGGGUUCAAUUCCAGCCUGGGGCG
Gymnothorax javanicus (giant moray) is the source of this 73-nucleotide non-coding RNA. The record is from the annotation of a GenBank genome assembly. NCBI's taxonomy places the organism in Eukaryota, Metazoa, Chordata, Actinopteri, Anguilliformes, Muraenidae.